UCUGUCGAGCUGAAAAGCCGCAGAGAAAUGGUGGUGGCGACUGUUUACUAAAAACAUAGGUCUGUGCCAAGUCGUAUAGACGACGUAUACGGACUGACGCCUGCCCGGUGCUGGAAGGUUAAAAGGAGGAGUCAGCGCAAGCGAAGCUCCGAAUUGAAGCCCCAGUAAACGGCGGCCGUAACUAUAACGGUCCUAAGGUAGCGAAAUUCCUUGUCGGGUAAGUUCCGACCUGCACGAAUGGCGUAACGAUCUCCACACUGUCUCGGCCAGAGACUCGGUGAAAUUGAAGUCGCGGUGAAAAUGCCGUGUACCCGCAGAAAGACGGAAAGACCCUGUGCACCUUUACUAUAGCUUGACAUUGGGAUUUGAGCCUGCAUGUGUAGCAUAGGUGGGAGGCUGUGAACUCUGUACGCCAGUAUGGAGGGAGCCAUCGUUGAAAUACCACCCUUUAAUGUUUGUUCAGGUCCUAACUCUUCGCCGCUGAUCCGGUAAGAGGACAGUGUCUGGUGGGUAGUUUGACUGGGGCGGUCGCCUCCCAAAAUGUAACGGAGGCAUGCAAAGGUUCCCUCAGGCUGAUUGGAAACCAGCCGUCGAGUGCAAACGCAAAAGGGAGCUUGACUGCAAGAGAGACAUCUCGAGCAGGUACGAAAGUAGGUGUUAGUGAUCCGGUGAUCCCGAAUGGAAGGGUCAUCGCUCAUUGGAUAAAAGGUACGCCGGGGAUAACAGGCUGAUCGCAUCCAAGAGUUCACAUCGACGAUGCUGUUUGGCACCUCGAUGUCGGCUCAUCACAUCCUGGGGCUGAAGCAGGUCCCAAGGGUACGGCUGUUCGCCGUUUAAAGUGGUACGCGAGCUGGGUUUAAAACGUCGUGAGACAGUUUGGUCCCUAUCUUCUGUGGGCGUAGGAGAAUUGAAAGGGCCUGUCCCUAGUACGAGAGGACCGGGAUGGACACACCACUGGUGGACCUGUUGUCGUGCCAACGGCACAGCAGGGUAGCUAUGUGUGGAAGGGAUAACCGCUGAAAGCAUCUAAGCGGGAAGCCUGCCUUAAGAUAAGUUCUCCCUGACGCUUUAAGUCUCCUGAAGGGCCGAGGUAGACGACCUCGUUGAUAGGCUGGAGGUGGAAGCCCUGUGAGGGGUGGAGCUGACCAGUACUAAUAGCCCGUGCGUCUUGUUUCU
Molecule: ribosomal RNA, 1176 nt
Filed under: human gut metagenome
Description: bacterial LSU rRNA
Rfam family: Bacterial large subunit ribosomal RNA
Source: RNAcentral